RNAcentral lists this long non-coding RNA (346 nucleotides) under Olea europaea (common olive). RNAcentral's name for it is "long non-coding RNA (OEUR_LNC010376)". The record is from RNAcentral. Lineage: Eukaryota; Viridiplantae; Streptophyta; Magnoliopsida; Lamiales; Oleaceae.
UAUUUGAUCAUUCUAGUAAAUUGGAUGUCUGCAUAUGCAUUUUGCACCUAAACAAUCAAUUUGUUUAUAUUUAGGUGAAGGAAACGAAAGAGAGUUUGGUGGCAAUGAAGAAGGAAUUUUGUCUCACCAUUUUAGGACAUUAAAACUUUUUAAAAGAUUUGCUUUUCAAAUAUGUAAAUAUUUCAUAUUUCCAUACAUUGUACUGAGUCAGAUCCUAAGACCUUUGCUUCUUUGCUAAUUGCUAUGUAUCGAUGCCGAGCCCAAAUCCUAAAUUGAUUGCACGUAUGUACCCCUAUCUUAAACCAAGAAAUACAUGGUGUCGUCCUAACACGACGAAAUUGCGUGG